AAGACCAUACUUUCAAGGAUCAUUUCUGUAGUUUGUUACAAAAAAAAAAUGGCCUAUGGCCAGUUCUUACAGAGGC
Molecule: small nucleolar RNA, 76 nt
Filed under: Cricetulus griseus (Chinese hamster)
Lineage: Eukaryota; Metazoa; Chordata; Mammalia; Rodentia; Cricetidae
Description: Small nucleolar RNA U3
Source: Rfam by way of RNAcentral